RNAcentral lists this ribosomal RNA (317 nucleotides) under uncultured bacterium. Its description in RNAcentral is "bacterial SSU rRNA". It matches the Rfam family "Bacterial small subunit ribosomal RNA", at positions 8 to 334 of the family's 1533-position model. The record is from RNAcentral.
AGAGUUCGAUUAUGGCUCAGGAUGAACGCUGGCGGCGUGCCUAACACAUGCAAGUCGAGCGAUUCUCUUCGGAGAAGAGCGGCGGACGGGUGAGUAACGCGUGGGUAACCUGCCCUGUACACACGGAUAACAUACCGAAAGGUAUGCUAAUACGAGAUAAUAUGCUUUUAUCGCAUGGUAGAAGUAUCAAAGCUUUUGCGGUACAGGAUGGACCCGCGUCUGAUUAGCUAGUUGGUAAGGUAACGGCUUACCAAGGCGACGAUCAGUAGCCGACCUGAGAGGGUGAUCGGCCACAUUGGAACUGAGACACGGUCCAA